AUUGGGCACCAUUUCAGGAACCAACCCCCCCAACAAUUUAGGUGUCUUAUGGGCCACCAUUUUAGACAUUAUGAGCUAUAAUGAUGGCAAAGCACCAAAAGCACGUUAGCAUUCUCAUAACAUACCAUUAAGCGACACAAAAAUCAAAGUAACCUCUAAGAUUAGAUCACAAAGAAAUUCUUAUGUUCAUGAAUUGCAUGCCAUCAAUUGACCAGAAAAG
Molecule: unclassified non-coding RNA, 220 nt
Filed under: Hevea brasiliensis (rubber tree)
Lineage: Eukaryota; Viridiplantae; Streptophyta; Magnoliopsida; Malpighiales; Euphorbiaceae
Source: RNAcentral